RNAcentral lists this long non-coding RNA (328 nucleotides) under Capsicum annuum. Its description in RNAcentral is "long non-coding RNA (CANN_LNC013927)". The record is from RNAcentral. Lineage: Eukaryota; Viridiplantae; Streptophyta; Magnoliopsida; Solanales; Solanaceae.
AAUAAGUAUGUAAUAGUUUAUUAUUAUGGCUAAUCACAACAUCCACAUAUUGACACAACUGUUGUUCCCCAUGUAGCCACAAGAUCAUCUACAUGUAACUUCAACUUCCACAGUCUCUCAAAGAAGAAUGAAUUCAAAUGGAACCCCUUUAUUCCACAUUUUGCUCCAGCACCAGAAUGAUUCUUUUUUUGAAUUUACCAACGUUUGUUAAAAUUCACCAUGCUUUAUCCAUCCCUUCUAUUUCUUCAUAAAAUAUUUUUUUAUCAAUCACAUGAGUCGUGAUAUUUAUAUGACGAUGUUAUUAUAUGAGUGUAUGGUUCCACUUCCC